This 1070-nucleotide long non-coding RNA is filed under the name Cricetulus griseus (Chinese hamster). RNAcentral's name for it is "lncRNA (ENSCGRG00015032784.1)". Lineage: Eukaryota; Metazoa; Chordata; Mammalia; Rodentia; Cricetidae. The record is from RNAcentral.
UGACAAUGGUGACCUCAGCCUGUGGACAGGAAGGAUUGCUUGAGAGUUGGCAACAGUGGAAUUAUUCCCUCCUCAGGAGACUCCUGAAUGGCUUCAUGAAAUACCAUUAUAGGAGCUGGGUCAGCAAGACAGCCCUGCUAGGUCUCACUGGGUCACUGGCACUGGAGUUGGCUCCCAAGAACACCUGGUGAAUUGUCUGGUUCCAGGAAUUAUUAAGACUGACUUCAGCAAAGUGAUUUAUAGCAAUGAGGCUCUCUGGAACCACUUAAAGGAGAAUUACCAGCUACAGAGGCAAUUCUUUUAACAGCUGAGAUAGCUCUGCAGCUCCAAGGCCCACCUCUUAAUACCAUCACAUUGGCUGUUAGGAUUCAAUGCCUGAAUUUUGGAAGAGACACACCCAUAGCUAGGCAGUGACUUCAGGAGAGCCUUCAUCCAGUGGCUGAUGGAAGCAGAAGCAGAGAUCCACAGUUAAACACUGAACUGAACUCUGGAAUCCAGUUUCAGAGAGGGAGGAGUGACCAACAAAGGGAUCAAGACCACACUGGGCAAACCUGCAGAAACAGCUGACCUGAGAAAGUGGGAACUCAUGAAACCCAGUCUGACAGCUGGGGAACCAACACAGGACCAAACCAGGCUCCCUAAACAGCUUUCAUCCAGUAGCUGAUGGAAGCAGAAGCAGGAACCCACAGCUAAACACUUAGCCAUACUACUGGAAUCCAGGGAGGAGGGAUGAACAAAGCAGUCAAGACCGUGCUGGAGAAACCUACAGAACCAGCUGACCUGACCUAGUGAGAGCACACAGACCCCAGUCGUAAAGCUGGGGAACCAGCAUUAGGCUGAACCAAACCCUCUGAAUGUGGGUGCCAGUUAGGAGGCCUGGGCAGGCUAUGGUACCUCCAAGAGUGGAACCAGAGCACAAAUGAACUUUGGGAGCCCAUUCCCUAUGGAGGGGUACUAUUGCAGCCCUAUCUGCUGCAAGGAGGAGGGCCUAGGCCCUCCCUGAAAUGAUGUGACAGACUUUGAUGAUCCUCCAUGGAAGGCUUCACCGUCCUUGGGGAGCAGGUGGGGGG